GCGGGGGAGAAUGUCAUGGACGGCACUAUUUUCGCCCCAAAACAAGCUCAAAACAGCUCCAAUAUGCUUCCGGAACAGUCCAGAAUACCCCGGAAGGUCCUGGAAGAUUCUAGAAGGCUCUAGAAGACUCUAGAAGACUCUAGAAAACUCUAGAACACUCUAGAAGACUCUUAAAAAAUCUAGAAUUGUGCAGAUUGUUGAAGACAAGCCUAGAAUCAUGUGGAGGCUUCUAGAGGGCAGC
Molecule: long non-coding RNA, 241 nt
Filed under: Nicotiana benthamiana
Lineage: Eukaryota; Viridiplantae; Streptophyta; Magnoliopsida; Solanales; Solanaceae
Description: long non-coding RNA (NBEN_LNC001103)
Source: RNAcentral